AAGCUCAUUUUAGCGCCUGCCCCGGCAGUCAGAAGAUGCUAUGUAUUAUUGGAUAUGCAUUAGCAUAGAGUUUUGCUGAUUAAUUCAUAAUAUAGGUGAGCAUCGGAGUGCCGGGUGACGAGGAGGGGGUUUAUCGAAUUUGUCGGCGGAUGCCCCCCGGUGACCACCACCGUCAGCAUGGCUACAAAGACCCGCAGUAAUGCGGGUGACAAAAGCCCUGCGUGGAAAAGC
This 231-nucleotide non-coding RNA is filed under the name Syntrophomonas wolfei. RNAcentral's name for it is "GlcN6P sequence". It matches the Rfam family "glmS glucosamine-6-phosphate activated ribozyme aptamer". From Rfam's summary of the family: This entry contains a glucosamine-6-phosphate activated ribozyme that is found in the mRNA for GlmS. Lineage: Bacteria; Bacillati; Bacillota; Clostridia; Eubacteriales; Syntrophomonadaceae. The record is from RNAcentral. RNAcentral also lists the same sequence under 1 other name.